UAGAAUCGCCAGCUGCCAAGCCCGAGG
This 27-nucleotide non-coding RNA is filed under the name Rattus norvegicus (Norway rat). Lineage: Eukaryota; Metazoa; Chordata; Mammalia; Rodentia; Muridae. The record is from RNAcentral.